AAGUCGAACGAGAAAGUGGAGCAAUCCAUGAGUAAAGUGGCGCACGGGUGAGUAACACGUGACUAACCUACCCUUGAGUGGGGGAUAACUGAGGGAAACCUUAGCUAAUACCGCAUAAUACCCACGGGUCAAAGGAGCAAUUCGCUCGAGGAGGGGGUCGCGGCCGAUUAGUUAGUUGGCGGGGUAAUGGCCCACCAAGACGAUGAUCGGUAUCCGGCCUGAGAGGGCGCACGGACACACUGGAACUGAAACACGGUCCAGACUCCUACGGGAGGCAGCAGUGGGGAAUUUUGCGCAAUGGGGGAAACCCUGACGCAGCAACGCCGCGUGGAGGAUGAAGUCCUUCGGGACGUAAACUCCUUUCGAUCGGGACGAUUAUGACGGUACCGGAAGAAGAAGCCCCGGCUAACUUCGUGCCAGCAGCCGCGGUAAUACGAGGGGGGCGAGCGUUGUUCGGAAUUAUUGGGCGUAAAGGGUGCGUA
This 482-nucleotide ribosomal RNA is filed under the name uncultured bacterium. Its description in RNAcentral is "bacterial SSU rRNA". It matches the Rfam family "Bacterial small subunit ribosomal RNA", at positions 59 to 573 of the family's 1533-position model. The record is from RNAcentral.